GACGAACCGAGCGAACGUUGUUCGGAAUCACUGGGCUUAAAGGGCGCGUAGGCGGGUGCUCAAGUCCGUGGUGAAAUCCUCCGGCUCAAUCGGAGAACUGCCUCGGAUACUGGGCGUCUCGAGUGUGGUAGGGGUAUGCGGAACUAUCGGUGGAGCGGUGAAAUGCGUUGAUAUCGAUAGGAACUCCGGUGGCGAAGGCGGCAUACUGGACCACCUCUGACGCUGAGGCGCGAAAGCCAGGGGAGCAAACGGG
Molecule: ribosomal RNA, 253 nt
Filed under: uncultured bacterium
Lineage: Bacteria
Description: partial 16S ribosomal RNA
Rfam family: Bacterial small subunit ribosomal RNA
Source: RNAcentral